RNAcentral lists this transfer RNA (67 nucleotides) under Marmota monax (woodchuck). Its description in RNAcentral is "tRNA.Ala". The record is from RNAcentral. Lineage: Eukaryota; Metazoa; Chordata; Mammalia; Rodentia; Sciuridae.
GGAUUGUGGCUCAGUGGUAGAGUGCCACCUAGCAUGCUCAGGGCCCUGAGUUCGAUCCUUAGCACCG